Ornithorhynchus anatinus (platypus) is the source of this 674-nucleotide long non-coding RNA. RefSeq lists it as uncharacterized. The transcript is spliced from 3 exons. The record is from RefSeq and is a predicted model, not a curated record. Lineage: Eukaryota; Metazoa; Chordata; Mammalia; Monotremata; Ornithorhynchidae.
UUCCAGCUCGGCUUCCGCGACCUGGCCCGGGUGCAGGAGGAGGGCAUGGACCCCGAGAUCGGCUGCCUCAUCCGCUUCUACACCGGUGAGGUAAGUGAGGCCCCGGAAGUUAAUGACUCGCCCAGGUUCACGCGGCAGACGACAGACGACUCCGGCAGACCUCCCGGAGAGGCACUAGGAAACCCGCAAUCGGCUUAGAUGGAUCGCCAAGCCAGACGGGGUGAAGACGGAAGCUACAGUCAGCCUCUGAGAACCGUGAGGACUGGGACCUUAUGCAUUUGCCUCGAUUGUACUGCCAGCUGCUAAUACGGCGCUCUGCACACAGCCUGCGCCCAAGAAAUACUAUUAGUCGAUAAGGAGGGGAUGUCGAAGAGGAGCGGUUGCGUCUGGAAGCCGUCGCUGGCGGGCCAAAUCCCAGCUUGGACUCUACCGAUCAAGCGGACCGUCAGUCGAUGGCAUUUGAGCGCUUACUGCGUGCAGAGCACUGUACUGAGCUCUUCGGAAGAGUGCACCGUAACAGAGUCGGUAUAGACGCUUCCCCCUGCCCACAACCCGACGGCCCAGAGGGGGAGACAUUCAGUGAAAUAAAUAAAUAAAUUGCUGAUCUACACGAGUGCGUGGGGCACAGGUUGGAGAAGCAGCGUGGCUCAGUGGAAAGAGCCUGGGUUUCGGAG